Molecule: ribosomal RNA, 465 nt
Filed under: uncultured bacterium
Lineage: Bacteria
Description: partial 16S ribosomal RNA
Rfam family: Bacterial small subunit ribosomal RNA
Source: RNAcentral
AAUGAACGUUGGCGGCGUGGAUUAGGCAUGCAAGUCGAGCGAGAACCCCGCAAGGGGGGACAGCGGCGAAAGGGACAGUAAUGUGUAGAUUAUCUGCCCUCAGGUCCGGGAUAGCUGCGGGAAACUGCAGGUAAUACCGGAUAACAUCUCCGGAUCAAAGGUGUGAUUCCGCCUGAGGAUGAGUCUGCAUCCUAUUAGCUAGUUGGUGGGGUAAUGGCCUACCAAGGCAUUGAUGGGUAGCAGGUGUGAGAGCACGACCUGCGUCAUUGGGACUGAGACACUGCCCAGACACCUACGGGUGGCUGCGGUCGAGAAUCUUCGGCAAUGGGCGCAAGCCUGACCGAGCGACGCCGCGUGUGGGAUGAAGGCCUUCGGGUUGUAAACCACUGUCAGAGGGGAUGAAAUGCAGGUGGGUUCUCCCAUCUGUUUGACAUAGCCUCAGAGGAAGGACGGGCUAAGUUCGUG